UUGGAGCCAGCAGUGGUGCUGGAACCAGAUACUAGGCAAGGAGCAGAGAAAGACCCGAGAGCACGAGCUGUCAAGGGACAGAGAGCCAGAUCGAUUCUCCAGGAAGUGCACCCACAAGAUGGACAGGCCACGCAGAUCCCAUGGCUGGAAUGUCUCCUGGAAGAUGCUGCCCUUAGCAGGUGAGCGAUCAGCACCCUGCAAUGGGGAGGACUUAUUUGGGGGGAGUUGAGGAUGCUGGAGGAAUUUGGUCUUUUAGCUCAGAUCUGUAUCUCUCCCACUAAUGCAGAUGUCGAAACCUAACUCUGCACCUGAUUUCAUAGAGGAAGGUGUUGUUUUGAGUGAAAAAUCACUUUUUAAACAUGUAUUUAUAUGCAAAAGGCCUGCUAGGGACCACCCUGUUGCACCCUUGGUUUUGUACUUACUAGGAUGCAGAAUCCGGACCCCAUUUCCAAAGGGGUUGCUGGUAAGAGCGCUGGAAGGAAGCAGGUGGAGUUACAUGCAGCUGAGCUUGGGGGGUAGGAUGAGGAUGCUGGAGGAAUUUGGUCUUUUAGUUCUAAUAUAGAUCUGCACCUCUCAGACUAAUGCAGAGGUCUAAACUUCACUCACUGCCAGAUUUCAUGCUCCUCUGAAUGUUGUUGUGGAGUCCUCAGGAAUUCAAACUAGACCAUUGUGUUAAUUUGCAAUUAAAUGCAUUUUAAAUAUGUACUAAAACUUGCAAUGAAAUGCAAAAUUGGCAAGUCCCACUAAGGGCCGCACUGCUUCACCCUCUGUUUCCUACCCUCUUGGACGCAGAAUCAGGGCCCCAUUCCCACAGGGGUUUCUGGUAAGAGUUCUGAAAGGCUGCAGAUGGAAUUACAUACAGACCCUCCAGGUAGGCAGAGAGGUAGUACUAAAGGGGCAGGCUGGAGCCCUGAGGGAAUUUUUUUAAAAAAAAAUUGUAGAAGGAUUCUUAGUGCCCAGUGAGCACUUUGUGUGAAGAAAGGAAUCAUUUAUUAAAAUGAAUGUUAUUUUUGUUUCAAUCAAUACCGGUGAUCGGCAAGACAGAUUGUUUCAAUAAAUAGCAAAAAGAUAUUUUGAAAUAUAUCUGGCAAGGGUAAAAACCAAGAAUAAAAUAUAAAAUAUUAAUAGAUGAGAAAGAGAGAAGAGGUUUUUCCCUGUCGGAUAUGAGAUUACAUUAUGAAGCUUCCUGUCUGUGCUGGUUGAAGGAAUGGUUGUCACUGAAGAAUCCACAUAUUAAAGACUUGGAAUGUCACGAUGAUAUAUUUGGCUGGCAUGUGUAUUUGUGGUAUGGCGAAAGUACAUAAAGGAUUUAUAAAUCAGAUUAUUAUGUUCAUUUGUUAAAAAUGAAAAAUUAUAAAGAAAAGAAAGAAAAGAAAGGAAUCAUCCUGAGUCCCUGAAGGAGGUAAACACAGACAGAUGCCCAGACCUCCUUCACUGGCCCCCUUUAUGUUAAUGUUUGCUUAGCUAGAAACAUGGGAGGGUCCUGGAAGGGGAAAUACAAGAGCGCUUCCCCUUUCUUCAUGUCUGCCCCAGAAGAAGGCUGAGGCUGAGCUGCCAGGAAAGGAACUGCCUUCUUGCUUGCUCAAUAAAGUAAGAGCUACACUUAGUGUUUGUAGGACAGCUCUUGAGAGGAAUCACUGUUACGAACUGGGAUAUUUAGAGUGUGCCGUGACAUUUCAGCAGAGGUUGGAAGCCCUUUUUCUUCUUCUUUAGCAGAACAUGUCUUUCGUUUUCUUCUCCACACUGCAGCCUCCAUCCUGAGUUCCUGCUUCCUGUUGACUCAAGCCCAGGAGACAACUGGAAUAAGUAUCAGAGUUGUUCCAGAAGUGCUGAAAGAAGGAGAUAGUGUCACCUUAAAACCAGAAGGUCUUAAUCUGAAGAUGAUAGCCACCUGCAAAUGGUACCGAGGGGCAGUUGAAGACAAAAACAUUAUUGUUACAUAUUACCUAGUUCCAGUUAGUGGUCAGGAAAAAGGACCUGCCCACACUGGCAGGGAGACUGGGAAGCCAGAUUGCUCCC
Molecule: non-coding RNA, 2019 nt
Organism: Podarcis lilfordi (Lilford's wall lizard)
Lineage: Eukaryota; Metazoa; Chordata; Lepidosauria; Squamata; Lacertidae
Source: the annotation of a GenBank genome assembly